AAAUAAAUUAAAACUUUCAACAACGGAUCUCUUGGUUCUGGCAUCGAUGAAGAACGCAGCGAAAUGCGAUAAGUAAUGUGAAUUGCAGAAUUCAGUGAAUCAUCGAAUCUUUGAACGCACAUUGCGCCCUCUGGUAUUCCAGAGGGCAUGCCUGUUCGA
RNAcentral lists this ribosomal RNA (159 nucleotides) under Cytospora sp. 24 LY10. RNAcentral describes it as "5.8S ribosomal RNA". It matches the Rfam family "5.8S ribosomal RNA". Rfam says of the family: 5.8S ribosomal RNA (5.8S rRNA) is a component of the large subunit of the eukaryotic ribosome. RNAcentral also lists the same sequence under 17 other names. Lineage: Eukaryota; Fungi; Ascomycota; Sordariomycetes; Diaporthales; Cytosporaceae. The record is from RNAcentral.